GAUGAACGCUGGCGGCGUGCCUAACACAUGCAAGUCGAGCGGCAGCGAGGGGUGCUUGCACCCUGUCGGCGAGCGGCGGACGGCUGAGUAACGCGUGGGAACGUGCCCCAAAGUGAGGAAUAACUGCCCGAAAGGGUAGCUAAUACCGCAUAUUAUCUUCGGAUCAAAGGAUUUAUCCGCUUUGGGAGCGGCUCGCGUCGGAUUAGGUAGUUGGUGAGGUAAUGGCUCACCAAGCCGACGAUCCGUAGCUGGUCUGAGAGGAUGACCAGCCAGACUGGAACUGAGACACGGUCCAGACUCCUACGGGAGGCAGCAGUGAGGAAUCUUCCACAAUGGGCGAAAGCCUGAUGGAGCAACGCCGCGUGCAGGACGAAGGCCUUCGGGUUGUAAACUGCUUUUAUAAGUGAGGAGUAUGACGGUAACUUAUGAAUAAGGAUCGGCUAACUACGUG
This 451-nucleotide ribosomal RNA is filed under the name uncultured bacterium. RNAcentral's name for it is "partial 16S ribosomal RNA". It matches the Rfam family "Bacterial small subunit ribosomal RNA", at positions 28 to 507 of the family's 1533-position model. The record is from RNAcentral.